This is a long non-coding RNA of Cyprinus carpio carpio, 1209 nucleotides long. Lineage: Eukaryota; Metazoa; Chordata; Actinopteri; Cypriniformes; Cyprinidae. The record is from Ensembl.
AGAACAUCUCGGCUUCGUUUCUCUCUGAAAUAAAGUCUAUCUUCUGGAAACAAAACCCCAAGACUGAGUGUGAUCCCUCAGAUCCAUGGCAGCAGACACGACACUACAUUUGGCGCCCGAACAGGGACUGGAAAGGAGCAGCAGAGUGGACGACCGCUUUUGAACUGACUGAUGAGCAACACACACACAGUGGUGGCCACCAUAGAAUAAGGAGAAAAGGAAAGAGCCCAGAGAGGAAUUGGAGACUGCCUGUCCAGUUGUUCCAGGUGACCAAGUAUAUCUGAGGGUAUUCCGGAGAAAGUGGAAUGAGCCCAGGAGAGAAGGAACCUACAAAGUGGUGAGAGCUACUCCAACAGCAGUCCAAGUGGAGGGAAGCACAACCUGGUAUCAUCUAAACCACUGUACUAGAGUUCCCACGGGAAAGGCAGAAAGAAAAGAAAACAGACAACCAGACGAUGCAGGAGAAAGUAACGAGGAAAGAUCAGAGACACAUGAUGAAGUGCAAACUGACGAGAGCACAAAGAAAGAUCCACAAGGAGCUCCUUUCCUUCUGUCAGACGAAAUGGAGAGGACAGAGAAUGACUCUGACAACAUAUCUGAAGACCAUCCUAUGCCUAAUGCAUUUAAUAAUGCAAACCCAAACUCAACCAAUGGAAAGCAAUCUGACUUCCCUUCAAUUGACUUUUCAACCUUUGAACAAAAGUGACAAUGAUAUCAAUCCAACAGAACCAACGAUAAUCAAAAAUCGUAGAAACACUGAUUAUGAUGUACAAGGUGAUGAAGACAUUAAUCAUAUUGAUGCAUUAUGGGAUACAGCCCAAAAUAAUGAAUGGUAUAAAUGGGCAGCCUUUACUGCUAGAGAAACAGGAAAAGAAAAUUGCUUGCUGUGCUCCAAAUCUCCGUUAAACAAAGUAACAGCCAUACCAAAUCCAUAUGACUACCAAGAAUGUGCCAAAUUUGGGAGAAACUUUUGUCAUUUAACAGAUUUUACCAGACCAUAUUGUUUUUCUGAAUGUCUAGGAUUUUUGGGAAAUCCUAAAUUAACAGAUUAUUUUUUAGACCACUCUGGGGAUCUUGGUGUCAGUAUUCAGAUGUUAGCCAAAAUAUAAAAAUUGAAAAACGAAAGUAGAGAUUCCAAAAUUGUAUAGCAUAGAUUAUAAACAGGAAUAUCAGUGUUUCCAUAAACCAAAAGGAACACAAGAUGUGGGC